AAACCCAUCCUACCGUUCGGUAGGGACUUGUCGAUCGAGUGCGUCUUGUGCGCAUCCGUCGAUUAAAAGUAGUAGGUCUAGUCAGGCUAGUGGCCUGGGACAUUGUGUGCUAGAGACGUCGCUUCGGCUGACUGUCUUCUCACAGUGCGUCCCUUGCUAUACAAGCUGGUCUGGUCUUGGCCUCCACAGUCAUCGUAAGGUGACAACCCCCCU
This 213-nucleotide unclassified non-coding RNA is filed under the name uncultured Rozellomycota. RNAcentral's name for it is "uncultured Cryptomycota sequence contains ITS2". Lineage: Eukaryota; Fungi; Rozellomycota. The record is from RNAcentral.